Molecule: small RNA, 632 nt
Filed under: Pongo abelii (Sumatran orangutan)
Lineage: Eukaryota; Metazoa; Chordata; Mammalia; Primates; Hominidae
Description: processed transcript
Source: RNAcentral
UGAUUUUGAUCUCCACUUAUUAAAAGUUUCAGAAGGCACAACAAUACUGUUGAACUGCACUGGCCAGGUUAAAGGAAGAAAACCAUCUGCCCUAGGUGAAGCCCAACCAACAAAGAGUUUGUCCUCAGGACUACAGAAGCAGUUCACAUUUUACAGAUCAAAUGGACUACACACACAUUCUUUCCACUGCAAAUCGUCCUUUCUCCACUAGAAGCAAGGCCCUCGACAGAUGCUAGCACUAUGCUCCUGGACUUCCCAACCUCCAGAACUAGUCUCACAAAACAAGGAAUAACUUUAAACUUUAAUAGAAGAGUUCUGAAGACCAAACUCUGAAGGAAAGAAAGCAUUCUGGAAGAAUGGCAUAGCUGAAAUCAAGACCCUUGAACAAAGAAUAUUACCCAUUAACUCUUCAAAAACUAUUCCACGUAAGUUCUUCCCAUGAGAAUUGACCAGAAUGAUUGAACAACUACAGAUCUGUAAAACCAUAAAGGUACAAAAUCAGUCUACUCACUAAUGCUACUGGAAAGAAUGUUCUUCCACAAAUCUUGCAAGGUAACAAUUCUCCAACUUGGACAACACCUCCAUUCUCUAAAACAGGAAGGAAUUUAAUAAGUAAUUUCUAUAACUUAAAA